GUUUGAAAGAUGCUAUUACUAACAACACAAAGGUGACAAUACGAAAAUACAAAAUGAAAAUGGAAAGAAAAAGACGUAAGGAAUAAUUGAAAGGUACAGUUCCCUCGCCAGUGUUGCCAGGCGUGUGAACAGACCCUUGGAAGUUUGGGUUUAUUCUCUCAUUUGUUUGUUCAGUCAUGAUGGCAGGUGAACUGAGAGGAAGGGCGGUUCUUAAUUAUGAUGAGGGCCUUGAUACGCUCAC
Portunus trituberculatus (swimming crab) is the source of this 241-nucleotide long non-coding RNA. RefSeq lists it as uncharacterized. NCBI's taxonomy places the organism in Eukaryota, Metazoa, Arthropoda, Malacostraca, Decapoda, Portunidae. The record is from RefSeq and is a predicted model, not a curated record. The transcript has 3 exons.